CUCCAUCCCCCGCCGCUGUUUUCGUGCAGUGUUAGUGUCCUGGCGUGCGCGUCGCCCACUUUACCGCUGUCAUGAGGCAAAGUCUGGAAGAAUCCUAAUUCUAGACGCUCGUGUCCAAAAGUUAAGCAAAAAGUGGGAACACCUGAGUGUAGAUGUCUUGUAUGUCAGAGAACCUCGAAGUGGAAGAGGAAGCAGUGACGUCUGCCGUCCACCCGGGAGGGGCGGGGACCCACUGAAGGGUCCAGGACCCUGGAGCCUGCCCUGGGCGGCACCGUGAGAAGCGGGCUGGGUCCCUCGCCCCGCGCAGGCUCCUGAGACCACCCCGCCGCCAGACACGGGGAUUGCAGUCAGACAGUGAAAUACUCACGAUGAGGCUCGAUAUUACGUCUGGAGUCCCUCCAAGUUGCACACAGCGGUGGAUGGCUUGUUUUCAGUGAUACAGAAAAGUCCUGUGUAUAUUUGGGAAUAUCUAACCCAAGGCCUCAUGCAUGCUAGGCAAGCACUGUACCGCGGAGCCACGCCCCCAGCCCAUGUUAUUUUAUUUUGAAAUGGGAUUUAACUGUUGUCCAGGCUGGCCUUGAACUUGCAGUCCUUUGGCCUCAGCCAUGUUUCCAAUCUGGGGCUGUUGUAAUGGUGCUCUUUGUUUUCUUGUAUGUGGAUCUGAUGGACAUGCACGUGGAGUCUUUCCUGGAGUGGAGCUGCUGGGACUUGGAGUAUGAUAGCAUAAAUAGGUAGAGCCUUGAAGUCAUGGUAACCGGCACUCCAUUGAGGCGCUGUGUAAGAGCGCCUCAGCUUCACAGGUCUUGCGAGUUUAGUGAUUCUGAUGUAGUGUGUAGAAGUGUAGUGAUCCUGUUGGGUGUGAAGAGGUGUUGAACUAUUGCCGUGAUUGGCUUUUCUCUCAUAACUAAUAAAAGCCGAGAACCAUUUUGUAUGUA
Long non-coding RNA from Chinchilla lanigera (long-tailed chinchilla), 935 nucleotides. RefSeq lists it as uncharacterized. The transcript has 2 exons. The record is from RefSeq and is a predicted model, not a curated record. Lineage: Eukaryota; Metazoa; Chordata; Mammalia; Rodentia; Chinchillidae.